This 467-nucleotide ribosomal RNA is filed under the name uncultured bacterium. RNAcentral describes it as "partial 16S ribosomal RNA". It matches the Rfam family "Bacterial small subunit ribosomal RNA", at positions 329 to 792 of the family's 1533-position model. The record is from RNAcentral.
GGCCAGACUCCUACGGGAGGCAGCAGUGAGGAAUAUUGGUCAAUGGGCUUACGCCUGAACCAGCCAAGUCGCGUGAGGGAAGACUGCCCUAUGGGUUGUAAACCUCUUUUGUCAGGGAGCAAUUGGCGCUACGUGUAGCGUUAUCGAGAGUACCUGAAGAAAAAGCAUCGGCUAACUCCGUGCCAGCAGCCGCGGUAAUACGGAGGAUGCGAGCGUUAUCCGGAUUUACUGGGUGUAAAGGGGGCGCAGACGGCAGCGCAAGCCAGGAGUGAAAGCCCGGGGCCCAACCCCGGGACUGCUCUUGGAACUGCGCGGCUGGAGUGCAGGAGGGGCAGGCGGAAUUCCUGGUGUAGCGGUGAAAUGCGUAGAUAUCAGGAGGAACACCGGUGGCGAAGGCGGCCUGCUGGACUGCGACUGACGUUGAGGCCCGAAAGCGUGGGGAGCAAACAGGAUUAGAUACCCUAGUA